UACAGGGGGAGACAGACGGGGAGCUUGGCCAAUUCAGGAGCUGAUACAGCACUCAAAAGCUGGAGACUGAGAACAGAACAGGGUUUGGCUAUGGAGAGCAAUGUGACAGCUGUAAAGUUCUCCAAAACCCUUCCUGAAGAGAGAGAGAGAGAGAGGGCGGAGCCAAGGCUGCCCUGGUAUAAUGGACAGUGGAAAUGACUUUGGGAAACAGGAGGAAGAGCAGCAGAUUAGGCAAUGGAAAAGAGGUAGAUGAGUCUGCAGAAGGAAUGUGGGCAUGACAAAGUUCUCAAAAAGGACCCUCCCUAGUUUUCUCAAAGUUCUCAGAAAGGUGGGGGGGAGGGGGGAGUACUUUCACACCUGCAAGAUUCUGUUAAUGUAACCUUACAGCAAAAAUAGAGCUUGUGCCUCUGUAUGCGCUAUUUGUCUGCACUACUUGGCAAGGCUGACAUCUGGGAGGAGCUGCCAUUGGAAACAGAAUUCUCUGCCACCAGGCUACAGAAGUACAAGUGCUAAGUCUUUUCCAUUAUACUUUCAAUUACAUGCAAAGAUGAGCUAGUCAAUUUCAGGACUUUGCAUUCAUUUGAUCAACACAAAAUAGUCUGCAAAAAAGUCAUCUACAAUUUAAAUGGAUUCUCCUAUAAAUUCAUUGGCUGAAGUGAUAACCAGUAAACUAGCCAGUCAAAACAAUCUAUUACUUGUAAAAAUAUUUCAGGACCAGGAAAAGAUUGCAAUCUUCUACAUGUCUACUCAGAAGUAAUUUUAUUAAUAAUACACUUAUCUUUGAGUUCUUGAACCUUAGUUAUCAGUUCCUUUAAUUCAUUUAUAUGCACUGUUUUAUGUUUAUUGCAUGUAUUAACUGUUGCACAUGUUUUUGUUAACUCUUUUGUAAACCACUAUGUCUGUACUGAUUUGACAGUAUGCAAAUAGAAUAAAAAAUGAAAGUUCAAUAUU
Non-coding RNA from Notechis scutatus (mainland tiger snake), 951 nucleotides. Lineage: Eukaryota; Metazoa; Chordata; Lepidosauria; Squamata; Elapidae. The record is from RefSeq and is a predicted model, not a curated record.